RNAcentral lists this non-coding RNA (31 nucleotides) under Mus musculus (house mouse). The record is from RNAcentral. Lineage: Eukaryota; Metazoa; Chordata; Mammalia; Rodentia; Muridae.
UGUGGGGCGAAUGCUACAUGGAUGAUUGUUU